RNA transcript from Camelus dromedarius (Arabian camel), 8247 nucleotides. It is a transcript of the gene named GVQW motif containing 3, with no coding region annotated. NCBI's taxonomy places the organism in Eukaryota, Metazoa, Chordata, Mammalia, Artiodactyla, Camelidae. The record is from RefSeq and is a predicted model, not a curated record. The transcript is spliced from 2 exons.
GCCGCCUCCUUCCCACAAUGCACCCUGGCGCCCGGGGGUGCCCUCUCUUCCCUCAGCCUUCCUUCCCCGCCCCCUCCUUUCCGCCGACUUCUGCGCGGGCGGGCACGCGCAAGGAAGCGCGCUUGCUCGGGUGUGGCGAGGCGGAGGCGGGGCCUGGCGUGGGUUGCCGCAGUGCGCCUGCGCACGGCCUACCCAGGAUGGGAGGGAAUGGCGCAUGCGGGCGUGUCUCCCGGGACUCUACAGCAGGCGAACCCCCGGCUCCUCCGGUAGGUUUGGCGUGCGCGGCUUUCCGCAGAUCUGGAGCGAGCUUGCACGUUGUAUCAUCGGUGCAUCGCUUCUUGCUUGCUUAAGUUGCCACCGCAUAGGCUUCUGCUGCAGAAAUCGCCAUAGACUUUUAAGGGCCGCGGAACCGGACUACCUUGGUGACUCAUUUGCACACCCCCAGCAUAUCUGCGUGCAUUAGUUGGACGCAGACGUAAGUUGUUGGAGAUUUCAUUAUCCCCAGCUUUGCAGCCACUCUCUGGCCCCCGCAUCAGCUUCUAGACUGGAAGCCGAGGGGCUAAAACUCAGAAAAGCAAUGACUCUUCCGUGAUGAGGCUUCCAGAGGAGCAAGAAUAGCGACAUGAUUCCACCUGCAGCCCUCUAGAGAAUAGUUCUCCUGUCUUCCCCUCACAGUAGUGGACUUUUAACGUUCUUGUAUUGUUUAAGUGAUAAAAUGAGCGACCGCUAUCUAGAACAAAGGAUUAGUAUCAAAUUCUGCGUGAAAUUGAACAAGUCUGCAAGUGAGACCCACCAUCUUUUAAAAGAAGCUUAUGGGAAUGAAGUCAUGUCAAGGGCCAGAGUCUUUGACUGGCACAAGAGGUUUAAAGAAGGGCGGGAAGAUGUUCGAGAUGAUGCCCGAAGUGGUCGUCCAGUCACCCACCGGACGGAUGAAAACAUCCAGAAGGUCAAGGACUUGGUUUGUUCAAAUAGGCAGUUAACUGUGAGGAUGAUGGCUGAAGAGUUAAAUUUAGAUAAAGAAACCGUUAGACUCAUCCUGAAAGAAAACUUGAAUAUGAAGAAAGUUUCCGCAAAAGUUGCAUCGGGUAUUUUAAAGGAUGAACCUAAACCUCGAAAACUUGACUUUCGGUCUGAUCUUUCAAAGGAAACUAAGAAAAAGAGCUCAUGUGUGAGGAGAAAGGUAACAAGUUCUGAAACGUGGAGUCAUCUCCAGUGCGAAGCUGCUGGGGAAAUAACUGUGCCUGUAUCCCAUCCCAAAAUCCAUCAUCCUGCCAGCCAGCUGCUGCAGGCUUCAUCUUCAACAAGCCUUCCCGCCAGGGCAGCUCAGGAUUGGUUCACUCCGUGGUGAAAGGAAUGUGGGGUGGCCCCACCCCACCUAGAAAGCUGCCUCACACUUAGGCACCUUCAUUUGCUGCUCAUCUAUUUUCAGCUUCUUUACCACUCCUCCCUCUUCCCUCCAUGUUAUGGCCCUCCUGUUCACUCUUUGCUGGACUCGGGCCAUCUUCCUUGCUGUUCUCCACACUUUGAAGAACUUUUGGCUGUUGACUUCUGGUCCUUGCUUGUACUUAAUUUUUUUUUAAUUUUUUAAUUUUUUAUUUUAUUUUUUUUAUUAUUUUUUUUUGUUUGUUUAACAAGUUUGGAUCUCUUCACUGUCCAGACCUUAGUUUGUUAUGGCUGUCCUCUUCCUUUGUUCUCAAUAUUCUGCCUCAGGGGAUCAUACCAAUGAAAGGUGGGAGCAGGACCUUUUGGAGUCUCUGUGCACAGGGAGGCAUACUCUUCUGGGAGGACCCAAAAGAAAGCCUACAGUUCCAGCCUGCUCCACAGUCAGGGCCUGAGGUAUGGUACAGAAAGCAGUGGCAUGCUGACAUAGGGAGCAAUGCUAAGAGCAGAUGCAGCCCAAAUGACUCUGGGAGCCCCCAGAACUCAGGGUUGGCCACCCCUUACUGAUCUCACAGACCUACCCCGACAGAAGUGCUAGGUUUGUUCAUUCUAGUCUUGCACUUUGGACCCCCAAGACUCAUUUGGGUGUAUCCCCUCUGCUGGAGGGGAAGGAUCUGGCCCCAGAAAAUGUAAACCAGGGGAUUUGGGCCCAGGCUGUGAUGUAUGAGGAGAAAGACUAACACCCUAGACCUUGAAUUAAGGGAGCUCACUGCCUACGUGCUGGUGCCCACACAGCAGCCUGUUUUUGGUAACUCACAUCAACAUUGUCAGGUGUUUUUCUGAGCACUGACAGUUUUUAGAACACUGCUGAGCAUUGACAGUGUGAGGCUGUGAAAUAAGAUUACCAAGGGCUGGGUAGACUUCAUGGAUGAUGUGGUUCCUAGACUGGAUCCAUAAGGAAGGAUGAGGCUAGGGGGCUAGGAAAUUAGGGAAGCUUCCCAGGCAGGUGGAACAGUGUGAGGCUGCAAACCUGCCUCAGCAGGAAAAUGAUGGCACUAUUGGCUGAAAUAGCAAAAUCUAAAGAGGAAGAUAAUGGUGUUGCAGAAGGUGAACAGUUUGGAGUAAUUUGCUUCCACUCUUCUGCCGCCAACUCUAUGCUAGUAGUUUAUAAAUUGCUUCCCCCUGAGUCUGUGGAUAGGUUUAUAAUAACCACUUAUUUGAUUAUCUAAUUCUCUCAUCAAACCCUCAAAAAGCAUUCUCUACUGGUUCAAAAUCCUUUAUCUCUCCCUGGCUCUCUGCCAGGAUUUAUGGAAUGAAACUUUUCGCAAGUGGGUUCCAAGUAAUACCACAUAGACUAGAAACAUCUUAGAAUGCCUAAUGGAGGGGGGUGUGUGUGUGUUGGGUGGGGGUGGGGGUGGAAGAUGGUUAGUAACAGCAUUUCGCAGGAUUGGCCAAUGUCUAUGUUUUAACCCAAGGAUUUUUACAUGUAGCAGCUCCUAUUUAACUGGUAAGUUAGUAAAAAAUAUUGGUUGAUCAUAGAGGCCCAACAUUUAUUCAGCAAGUUAUUCUUAGUUCUGUUCUUUCACUAUCUCUAUUGCCUUCAAAAAAUUACUAAUACCUGUCAGCUUUGAUGUUCCCUGAAACCUAGAGCUUAUCCCACAAAUAGAAGAUACUGUGCAAGAAAACUCAAACCAACAAUGGCUCACAGACUUCUGCCUACUUAGCAAUUUGUAGAUAUUUCAUCUCAAUUCUUACAUCUUCCUACAUCAGAUGAGGCCCUGGGUUCCCCACUGCUGAAAGCCCUCAUGGCUGGCAGCUUUGUGGCUGAACAUAAUAAUCGUCACUCAGCCCGGGGGGAAGCGGAGGGGUAACUGUUGCAGAAUUGUAUGCUCCUACGCCUUGAGCAAGUUCCCACAACAGUACCUAUAGGCAUUAUCUCCAAUCUUUGAUAACACAGAGGCCCUGAAAGAAUUUAUUUCUGGAUCUAUUCCUGUCCUGUGAACAGAGCUGGAGUGACCCUUCCAAAGAUACUAGACCAAGACCAUGCUGGAGGGUAGGGUACCAGAAGCAAUGUUGUCCCAGACAGGGUUUGGACACAAAGCAACUGGAAGCAGGUAAUCAGAAGGGUGAAUUUAAAUUGUUCCAAGUAGCCAUAAUGAAAAAGACUUAGUUUAUUACCUUAAAUCAUGCCCUGUGUGGUAGUCAGGUCACACUUCUACCUGAACCCAUUAUCCAUUUUGCUUCCCAGAAAAUAUUCAAUGAGAUGAUAAUACACCCUAAGAAGCCUCAAGUUUGAGAGAAAUUAAAAAUACUCAUUCAAAGCAGUCCAUUCACAUGUGGCUGCUCGGAAUCUCUCCACCCCAGGUUAGAGCAUGAUCUCCAUAUGCCCAAACAAGAGAGUUCUGUAACAGUACCCCGUAUGUGCCCAACACCCAAAUCCAUUUUAUUUCUGACCCUUUAUUUUGCCAGCAUCUUGCUCCCUAGACCUCUAGAGUGUCUAAUCCUGUAAUCUCAGGGAUCUACCCAUCAUCAUGCCUCAGGCCCUUGUCCUUGGCUUUUUCAGAUAUCACACGGUUUAUUCUUAACUGGUUUGUUCUUGUUCCUCUGUUUCCCUGAGCUUUGUUUUCUAGUUCUAGACCACACUCUCCAAUAGCUGCUUUUGGCCACUUGGGUGUGCUGAUCUUGAAUUGCCCUUUUGCCUGUGAUUUUCCACUCAACUGCAACUCCUCUCCUGGUUUCCGUGUCCCUCUCCCGACUCCCCACUUAGGCCCUAUAGUCUUGACUACGGAAAUUGUCUGCUCCAUUGCUGGCCCCGGUUGCCUUCCUGUCCUUAAAAAGUAGGGUGGGAUAACAUAGGGGAAUGUGUUCAUGUUUUUUAUUAUUAUUAUUAUUUUUUUAAUGGAGGUAUUGGGAAUCAAACCCAAAACCUCGUGCAUGCUAAGCACUCUAUCACUGAGCCAUACCCACCCCUCCUUGUUUUAUUAUUAUUAUUAUUAUUAUUAUUAUUAUUAUUAUUAUUAUUAUUAUUAUUAUUAUUAGACACAUAGAGAAGGAACAAAAAUCUCCCUUUCACCCUUAGCCACCAGGGACUCCACUCCCCAGAGGUAACCAUUAUUACUAAUUUCUUGAGGCAAUUUGGUUACCUCUGGUCCUCAGGAGUCAUGAAAGUUUUUCAGAGAUAUAAUAUCCAAAUCCCAUUCUCCCAGCAACUGUAUUUACCCUGGCGGAAGAAGCUCCAUCUAACCAUAGGAGAUGAAGCCUGGCUCCCUGUAGGGCAUCUGGAGGAGCGCUGGCUCUCUGCAGACCUUUACCAUAAAUCUCAAGCUCAACACACAGUCAAGGAAUCUCUGGCUUUCAGGCUGAUCUUCCUCUUCCCCAUUCUGGUUCACAAACCACAGGGAAUGUUAUAUACCACAGCUGGGAGUUCUGGGGGGAAUAAGCACCUUCCAGGGCAGAUCAUCCCAUCAUUGAGUUUAUCCAAUCCUUUCUCUACCCAUUACCCCACCUUCCACCUGUCCCACUGUUAGUGGUCUAAACCAGAAUAAAAUGUUUACCAAUCUUUGAUUUCAAAAAACAUAUGGAUAGUUCUCCAGUCUUCUGAAUUCUGCCCCUGGCUCUGAGUUCUUACUGAAAUCUUGUUGUUUGCCAAGAAUGUGUACCCGGGGCCUGCUUUCCAGAGUCUUCCUUUCAGAUCCAUUUCUUAGAGUUCAGAGUUGCCAUUGGAGAUGGCUGGAUAAAUCUGGAUGCUAAAUGACUUGAGGAUGUGUACUAAAGGAACAGGGUACUGUUGGGAUUGUCACCGUAUCACAUGUCCUGGUCAGCCAACUUGCUGUUUGCAGACAUCAUUGCCAGUAAGUCUCAUUAGGCUCCUUGGAAUUGGUCAUUAUGUCCUAUGUGGCUCAGUUAGUAAGAGUCUUUUUGCUGCUGGAAUUGUAUAUGUAACCCUGCGUUCUCCAACUGCUUCUUAGUUGGAGCAGUCCUCUAAGAUUUUACCAAAGUCUCACACCCUAUCUGAGGCCGCUUUCUUGUAUUUAUGUUCUCUAGUCUCUGCCUUAUCAGAUCCUUGCAAAUGCUGUCCCAGUUGCAUCACCCUUCUCCUAGUAUUAAUAACCAGAGACAAAAAAUCUUCGGUGGGAAACUUCAGUAUCUCCAAGGACCCACUUGGAUUUAGUGAAGAGAAUAAAACAAUAGCACCAAAAGUUGGCAAUGGAGAGAAUGGGGCCAAACCACUAAUUUGGCCCAGAAACAAUUAGCUGACUGGGUCAACAUGGAGACUGCAUGAUACUACUAUGUUGGUAGCAGGAAUGGGACAGAAAGGAAAAGGGCCUUCCUGAAAGGAGAGGGCUAUGUGACCAGAAUCCCUGCAAAAAAAAACUCAAGUGUUAUAAGAAGAUACCACGCAUGGUAUGAGAAGACACCACAGGUGGCAUGUUCCUGCUACGUGGUCCUAGGGAGGUAAAGGAGCACGUGUGGUUCAAGUAUAUUCUGACAAAUGGGAAAGGAUUUGAAAUACUCUCCUGGGUAAAAUUAACCUUGUUCUUGCAUUCUCUCAUACAAAAUGAAUAUUCCUGAGAUGGAUUUUAUUGCAACUGACUUUCUGAAGAAUCCUUGAGCCUUCCAUAUAAUUUCUUUAGGAUAGGAAUGGCUUUCAAUGUACCAAGUCUACCUCCUCCCAUAGUGAAACAUUCAAACAACAUGGUAUACACGGGAAUACUUGGUAUUCCAUACUGAGGAUGCCACAAGCAUAUCAGUAGUCACCUUAGUAUUGUAACUUGCAAAACUCUUAAGGUUUGCAAAUGUUAUUUUGUUGGUGUCCAGAAUGACUGUGCUUUUAUUUAUAUCUGAAAAGUAGUCAUGUCACGGGAUUUUAAAGUGAGAAAUGAUGUAGAUAAUGCCUAUCUAUCCAUAGAUGAAAUUGUUGUUGGGAAAAUGUUUCUUUCACCAUUACUUUAGCAAAAUGUUUAUCAUUAAAAUGCCAAAUAUAUCUCCUCAGUGGAAUUUCAGACUUUCCAAGGAGUACACAGGUAAAUACAUGUUUUACAGGCAUGUAGGUUAUAGGCUUGUUGAGCUAGAAGAGUCCUUCAAGGUCUGAAUCUCUUGGUCUAUAGAAAGAACAAAAGAGUGAGAUUGGGGUUUUAAUCCUGCUCCUUAACAAGCCAUGUGACUUUGGGCAGUUCAUUUGUACCUGUGGAACACUUCAGGUUACUCGUCUAUGAAAGGGGAAUAAUAAAACCUGUCUCAUGGAGUUGUUCAUUUUGUCCUUUCAACAAAUGUUUAUUGAUUGCUUAUAUGUGGCUGACCUAUUCUACACACUGAGGAUAUAACAGUGAACAAGAUUUAAAAAAAGUUCUUCUUGAGCUUACAUUUAAGUGUGGAAGACAGACAAGAAAUAAGACAGAUGUAUGUUAGAUAGUGAUUAUUAGAUGUGAGGCUUGCAUUAAAAUAAUGUAUAUGAGGUGACCAGCACAAACUCUGGCGUGUAGUAAGUAUUCAAUAGAUAGUAAUUCCCUUUGCUUCUUCAGUCUUCCUAACAGCUCCUGAGUUAGUCUACAGCAUGGUAGUGAUCAGCAGAAGGCCUGACUCCUUGCCUUCAACUUCUCACCAGUUAAUAAGGCCUAAACCUAUUUUGUUUAAGAUGACAAAAGUAUUCUUACCGGUGUGUUUUGCACUUUCUAUAUGGCAGAUUAAUAAAGGCGGUGCCUAAACACUGUUGAUAAAUGGCCUUUUCUGAAGCCAGUUGGCAAAGGCCCCUGCCUGGAGCUAGAUGGCAUCCAACCACAAGGACAAAUGCAUGAUUUCUUUGCUGUUUAAGCUGAACAGACCAGGAAACUGUACUGGCUGCUUCUCUUAAAAGAUGUGUGACCUGUGUCCUGUUCCAAACACAAGAACUGGGCAAAGUUUGCAUUAUUUCUGGGAGACCAGGGCAUUGACUAAAAGCCAGGAAAAAGAGGGUUUAAUGCUUGUGGUUGCUAUAUAUUUUUGCCCAUUGUAGAAAAUUUGGGCAGUUCAGAAAUGUUUAAAGAAGCCAAAAGUUCAGCAUUUCACCAGACCCAUCUCUCUGCCUCAGCUUCAUCCUCCAGAAACAUCCAGUGAAUAGUCAUUUGCUGAAUUCCCUCUUUAGACCAUCACAGUUGGGACGAUUGUGGGAAUGAGAAAGUGGAGCAUAAGGAGGCAAAAUACACAAAGCAGUGGUAACUGGCCUGCUGGCCUGGCCAUCCCUCGCUCCUCUUAUUAAAAGGGCCCUGAGUUCUGUCCUCAAGGAUUCAGUCAGUGCAGUGUUAGCUCACAGAAGAAAGUGGACAUGAGGCUGUAGGCCAGUACCCCUGUACCUUAUUUUAAGGACUUAAUAAGUGAAAAUUCAGAAUUACAACCCAGAUAGAUAAGGAAAUGGGCCCAGGGAGGUUGAGUGAAUUUUCUUGAAUCACACAUCUAAGUGGUGGGAAAGCCAGGAUAAUAAUGAAGGACCUUGAAUUUCACUCAGUCCAGUGAUUUUUUUUUCCAUUAUUCUGUUGGUAAUAAUUUCCUUUACUAAAUUGUGCAUUCUUAAGAUAACUUUAAAAUAAUGGUCACCUUGGCAUUUGAUAAACAUGAUUUACCAACAAUUGAUUCACAUGCAAUUUGGAGGGAAUGUAUUUAUGGCAAAGAAGGUGAUGCAAAAGUUUUUCCAAGAUCCCUGGGGUGCCCAGGCCCCUGGUCCUUCUCCCAGAGGUGUGUAUUCAUAAGUAAAUGUUGGCAUUCUGUCAUUCAUUUUUUUCCAGAUGUUCUUCCCAAGUAGUGUGUUAUGUCUUGUGUUUUUAAUAUUUCUCGUAUACAUUUAAAAAAAUCUGGGCACAUAAAUCCUAAUAAAGUUCUCAGCUAUCUCCUCUA